RNAcentral lists this unclassified non-coding RNA (401 nucleotides) under uncultured Bacteroidota bacterium. RNAcentral describes it as "uncultured Bacteroidetes bacterium partial 16S-23S ribosomal RNA intergenic spacer". The stretch from base 286 to 401 matches the Rfam family "Bacterial large subunit ribosomal RNA", at positions 1 to 116 of the family's 2925-position model. Lineage: Bacteria; Pseudomonadati; Bacteroidota. The record is from RNAcentral.
CUCCUUUUUAGAGAAAACGACUCUCAAAAUAAUUAUUGGAAACAACUGGGCUGCUGCAUCAUUCUUCUUUUUCCGUUUUUGUCUAGUCCUGUAGCUCAGUUGGUUAGAGCACUACACUGAUAAUGUAGGGGUCAGCAGUUCAAAUCUGCUCAGGACUACGGUGAAGAUGGGGGAUUAGCUCAGCUGGCUAGAGCGCCUGCCUUGCACGCAGGAGGUCAUCGGUUCGACUCCGAUAUUCUCCACUAAAGAGAAGUUCUUUGACGUACUGGUAGAAGAUAGAGUAAAUCAUAAGCAACAAAGAGCAGUUGGCGGAUGCCUUGGCUCUCAAUAGCGAUGAAGGACGUGAUAAGCUGCGAUAAGCUAUACUGAGAUGCAAAUAAUCGUUUAAGUAUAGAUUUCCG